CAGCAGCCGCGGUAAUACGGAGGGGGCUGGCGUUGUUCGGAAUUACUGGGCGUAAAGCGUACGUAGGCGGCUUUGUAAGUUAGAGGUGAAAGCCCGGUGCUCAACACCAGAACUGCCUUUAAGACUGCAUCGCUUGAACGUCGGAGAGGUGAGUGGAAUUCCGAGUGUAGAGGUGAAAUUCGUAGAUAUUCGGAAGAACACCAGUGGCGAAGGCGGCUCACUGGACGACUGUUGACGCUGAGGUACGAAAGCGUGGGGAGCAAACAGGAUUAGAUACCCCAGUAGUCCCUGUCUCUUAUAC
RNAcentral lists this ribosomal RNA (301 nucleotides) under uncultured bacterium. RNAcentral describes it as "partial 16S ribosomal RNA". It matches the Rfam family "Bacterial small subunit ribosomal RNA", at positions 509 to 807 of the family's 1533-position model. The record is from RNAcentral.